GUGGGGAAUAUUGGGCAAUGGGCGCAAGCCUGACCCAGCAAUGCCGCGUGGGUGAAGAAGGUCUUCGGAUUGUAAAGCCCUUUCGGCGGGGACGAUGAUGACGGUACCCGCAGAAGAAGCCCCGGCUAACUUCGUGCCAGCAGCCGCGGUAAUACGAAGGGGGCUAGCGUUGCUCGGAAUUACUGGGCGUAAAGGGCGCGUAGGCGGCUGUAUCAGUCAGGCGUGAAAUUCCUGGGCUUAACCUGGGGGCUGCGCUUGAUACGGUAUGGCUAGAGGACGGAAGAGGCUCGUGGAAUUCCCAGUGUAGAGGUGAAAUUCGUAGAUAUUGGGAAGAACACCGGUGGCGAAGGCGGCGAGCUGGUCCGUUACUGACGCUGAGGCGCGACAGCGUGGGGAGCAAACAGGAUUAGAUACCCUGGUAGUCC
RNAcentral lists this ribosomal RNA (425 nucleotides) under uncultured bacterium. RNAcentral's name for it is "bacterial SSU rRNA". It matches the Rfam family "Bacterial small subunit ribosomal RNA", at positions 354 to 796 of the family's 1533-position model. The record is from RNAcentral.